CACGUAGGGCGCGAGCGUUGUCCGGAAUUAUUGGGCGUAAAGAGCUCGUAGGCGGCCUGUUGCGUCCGCUGUGAAAGCCCGGGGCUUAACCCCGGGUCUGCAGUGGAUACGGGCAGGCUAGAGGUAGGUAGGGGAGAAUGGAAUUCCCGGUGUAGCGGUGAAAUGCGCAGAUAUCGGGAAGAACACCCGUGGCGAAGGCGGCUCUCUGGGACGGUACUGACGCUGAGACGCGAAAGCGUGGGGAGCGAACAGG
Molecule: ribosomal RNA, 253 nt
Filed under: uncultured bacterium
Lineage: Bacteria
Description: partial 16S ribosomal RNA
Rfam family: Bacterial small subunit ribosomal RNA
Source: RNAcentral